RNAcentral lists this ribosomal RNA (1167 nucleotides) under Salmonella enterica. Its description in RNAcentral is "partial 23S ribosomal RNA". It matches the Rfam family "Bacterial large subunit ribosomal RNA", at positions 566 to 1566 of the family's 2925-position model. Lineage: Bacteria; Pseudomonadati; Pseudomonadota; Gammaproteobacteria; Enterobacterales; Enterobacteriaceae. RNAcentral also lists the same sequence under 1 other name. The record is from RNAcentral.
CCACCACCAAAGCAUUCUCUGGUGUUGAAGGCCCUGCAAAGCAGCAUCGCGGUGGCGGAGCGUCGUUUGCGACGCCCAACACACAAAACAAGCGGUGAGUGCUUUGGGGUGGGGUGACUGCGUACCUUUUGUAUAAUGGGUCAGCGACUUAUAUUCUGUAGCAAGGUUAACCGAAUAGGGGAGCCGGAGGGAAACCGAGUCUUAAUUGGGCGUUAAGUUGCAGGGUAUAGACCCGAAACCCGGUGAUCUAGCCAUGGGCAGGUUGAAGGUUGGGUAACACUAACUGGAGGACCGAACCGACUAAUGUUGAAAAAUUAGCGGAUGACCUGUGGCUGGGGGUGAAAGGCCAAUCAAACCGGGAGAUAGCUGGUUCUCCCCGAAAGCUAUUUAGGUAGCGCCUCGUGAACUCAUCUCCGGGGGUAGAGCACUGUUUCGGCUAGGGGGCCAUCCCGGCUUACCAACCCGAUGCAAACUGCGAAUACCGGAGAAUGUUAUCACGGGAGACACACGGCGGGUGCUAACGUCCGUCGUGAAGAGGGAAACAACCCAGACCGCCAGCUAAGGUCCCAAAGUCAUGGUUAAGUGGGAAACGAUGUGGGAAGGCCCAGACAGCCAGGAUGUUGGCUUAGAAGCAGCCAUCAUUUAAAGAAAGCGUAAUAGCUCACUGGUCGAGUCGGCCUGCGCGGAAGAUGUAACGGGGCUAAACCAUGCACCGAAGCUGCGGCAGCGAACGUAUCACCCAAGACAACUUUGCGGAGUUGACGAUUGACGGAGCGAAGCGACGUCAAAGCGUUCAUUAAAGUCGAGUUGGCUUAGGGAUACGUUCGUUGGGUAGGGGAGCGUUCUGUAAGCCAGUGAAGGUGUGUCGUGAGGCAUGCUGGAGGUAUCAGAAGUGCGAAUGCUGACAUAAGUAACGAUAAAGCGGGUGAAAAGCCCGCUCGCCGGAAGACCAAGGGUUCCUGUCCAACGUUAAUCGGGGCAGGGUGAGUCGACCCCUAAGGCGAGGCCGAAAGGCGUAGUCGAUGGGAAACGGGUUAAUAUUCCCGUACUUGGUGUUACUGCGAAGGGGGGACGGAGAAGGCUAUGUUGGCCGGGCGACGGUUGUCCCGGUUUAAGCGUGUAGGCUGGUUUUCCAGGCAAAUCCGGAAAAUCAAGGCUGAGGCGUGA